This 505-nucleotide ribosomal RNA is filed under the name uncultured bacterium. RNAcentral describes it as "bacterial SSU rRNA". It matches the Rfam family "Bacterial small subunit ribosomal RNA", at positions 501 to 1008 of the family's 1533-position model. The record is from RNAcentral.
CUACGUGCCAGCAGCCGCGGUAAUACGGAAGGUCCGGGCGUUAUCCGGAUUUAUUGGGUUUAAAGGGAGCGUAGGCUGGAGAUUAAGUGUGUUGUGAAAUGUAGACGCUCAACGUCUGACUUGCAGCGCAUACUGGUUUCCUUGAGUACGCACAACGUUGGCGGAAUUCGUCGUGUAGCGGUGAAAUGCUUAGAUAUGACGAAGAACUCCGAUUGCGAAGGCAGCUGACGGGAGCGCAACUGACGCUGAAGCUCGAAGGUGCGGGUAUCGAACAGGAUUAGAUACCCUGGUAGUCCGCACAGUAAACGAUGGAUGCCCGCUGUUGGUACCUGGUAUCAGCGGCUAAGCGAAAGCAUUAAGCAUCCCACCUGGGGAGUACGCCGGCAACGGUGAAACUCAAAGGAAUUGACGGGGGCCCGCACAAGCGGAGGAACAUGUGGUUUAAUUCGAUGAUACGCGAGGAACCUUACCCGGGCUUGAAUUGCAGAGGAAGGAUUUAGAGAUA